Molecule: ribosomal RNA, 273 nt
Filed under: uncultured bacterium
Lineage: Bacteria
Description: partial 16S ribosomal RNA
Rfam family: Bacterial small subunit ribosomal RNA
Source: RNAcentral
UACGUAGGGCGCAAGCGUUGUCCGGAAUUAUUGGGCGUAAAGAGCUUGUAGGUGGCUUGUCGCGUCUGCCGUGAAAACCCGAGGCUUAACCUUGGGCGUGCGGUGGGUACGGGCAGGCUAGAGUGCGGUAGGGGAGACUGGAAUUCCUGGUGUAGCGGUGAAAUGCGCAGAUAUCAGGAGGAACACCGAUGGCGAAGGCAGGUCUCUGGGCCGUUACUGACACUGAGAAGCGAAAGCAUGGGGAGCGAACAGGAUUAGAUACCCGUGUAGUCC